GCUCAUGGUGGACUAGCAAAGAGUUGAAAAAGUCCAACAUCGUCGAAAAUUUGUGAUGGCCAGUAUUCUGCUAGUGUAGGGAAAUGUAAUAUUGUUAGUGUUGGACAAAGCACGCAACACAUACAAGUUCAUUGUACAUACCAGAGUCUUGUUUCAAACUCUAUAUACCAGAGUCUUGUUCCAGAAGAGUCUAUUACUGAGUUUUGUAGAAAGAAAGCUUAGAGAUGGCUUGGCCCGGAAAUGACCUCAAUGCCCAUGUCAACAAGAUCCGGAAUGAUGAAUACGACCGCCGGCUGUGCGCUGCUGAGACUGAAGAAGAAAGGAGGGCGAUAGAAAGGGCCCAGAUCAUGUUGGAUGAGCCAGCACUGCUGCCGGCAGAACUACCAAGACUUCCUCAGUGGCCACCAGUAGCGCCAGCACGACGACCCCAGGCCCAGGUCAUGUUGGCGGCAAGAGCACCGGCGCGGGGUGAACAGCCAGGAAAUCAGCCGCCACCAGUAGCUCCACCACCACCACCCCGCGCCCAGGUCGUGUUUGCUCCAGGAGCGCAAAGACGACCCUACGCCCCAAUGGUCGUGUUGGCCCCGCCAGCAGUGCCGCGGGCAGAACAGCGGAGACAGCAGCGGCCGCCAGUAGCGCCACGACGAGGCCAGAUUGAAGGGGCAAAGAAACGGCGCCAAGCCUAGCCCUCUACAUGUAUAUGUCUUCAAAUUAGUCCUCGUCUUAUCUAAUUUCAUAGAGUAUUCGUCAUAUUCGUGCAGUAUUCGUCAUACUUUAUAGAAUAUUAGUAUUCGUCAUUAUUCGUCCAGUAUUCGUCAUACUUUAUAGAAUAUGAGUAUUCGUCAUAUUCGUCCAGUAUUCGUCAUACUUUUGAAAAAUAAAUUUGUAUCACAAUUU
This is a long non-coding RNA of Sycon ciliatum, 897 nucleotides long. RefSeq lists it as uncharacterized. Lineage: Eukaryota; Metazoa; Porifera; Calcarea; Leucosolenida; Sycettidae. The transcript is spliced from 2 exons. The record is from RefSeq and is a predicted model, not a curated record.